RNAcentral lists this transfer RNA (83 nucleotides) under Phalansterium sp. PJK-2012. RNAcentral describes it as "tRNA-Ser". It matches the Rfam family "tRNA". From Rfam's summary of the family: Transfer RNA (tRNA) molecules are approximately 80 nucleotides in length. Their secondary structure includes four short double-helical elements and three loops (D, anti-codon, and T loops). Lineage: Eukaryota; Evosea; Variosea. The record is from RNAcentral.
ACACAAGUGGCCGAACGGCUAAGGCACCGGUUUUGAAAACCGAGGUUCCAUUUUGGUAGGGGGUUCAACUCCCCCCUUGUCCU